GACGAACGCUGGCGGCGUGCUUAACACAUGCAAGUCGAGCGGUGAAGCGCCUUCCUUUUUGGUGGGUGUGGAUGAGUGGCGAACGGGUGAGUAACACGUGAGUAACCUGCCCCCUUCUUCUGGAUAACCGCAUGAAAGUGUGGCUAAUACGGGAUAUUCUGGGUCUGUCGCAUGAUGGGUCUGGGAAAGAUAUUGUUUCGGUGGGGGAUGGGCUCGCGGCCUAUCAGCUUGUUGGUGGGGUGAUGGCCUACCAAGGCGGUGACGGGUAGCCGGCCUGAGAGGGUGGACGGUCACACUGGGACUGCGACACGGCCCAGACUCCUACGGGAGGCAGCAGUGGGGAAUAUUGCACAAUGGGCGCAAGCCUGAUGCAGCGACGCCGCGUGAGGGAUGGAGGCCUUCGGGUUGUGAACCUCUUUCGCCAGUGAAGCAGGCCUGCCUCGUUUGUGGGUGGGUUGACGGUAGCUGGAUAAGAAGCGCCGGCUAACUACGUG
This 494-nucleotide ribosomal RNA is filed under the name uncultured bacterium. Its description in RNAcentral is "partial 16S ribosomal RNA". It matches the Rfam family "Bacterial small subunit ribosomal RNA", at positions 28 to 507 of the family's 1533-position model. The record is from RNAcentral.